Molecule: ribosomal RNA, 1019 nt
Filed under: uncultured bacterium
Lineage: Bacteria
Description: bacterial SSU rRNA
Rfam family: Bacterial small subunit ribosomal RNA
Source: RNAcentral
UGAGGAAUAUUGGUCAAUGGACGAGAGUCUGAACCAGCCCAGUAGCGUGAAGGAUGAAGGUUCUAUGGAUUGUAAACUUCUUUUAUACGGGAAUAAACGAAUCCCCGCGUGGAUUUUUGCAUGUACCGUAUGAAUAAGGAUCGGCUAACUCCGUGCCAGCAGCCGCGGUAAUACGGAGGAUCCGAGCGUUAUCCGGAUUUAUUGGGUUUAAAGGGAGCGUAGAUGGGUUGUUAAGUCAGUUGUGAAAGUUUGCGGCUCAACCGUAAAAUUGCAGUUGAUACUGGCGACCUUGAGUGCAACAGAGGUAGGCGGAAUUCGUGGUGUAGCGGUGAAAUGCUUAGAUAUCACGAAGAACUCCGAUUGCGAAGGCAGCCUGCUAAGCUGCAACUGACAUUGAGGCUCGAAAGUGUGGGUAUCAAACAGGAUUAGAUACCCUGGUAGUCCACACGGUAAACGAUGAAUACUCGCUGUAGGCGAUAUACGGUCUGCGGCCAAGCGAAAGCAUUAAGUAUUCCACCUGGGGAGUACGCCCGCAACGGUGAAACUCAAAGGAAUUGACGGGGGCCCGCACAAGCGGAGGAACAUGUGGUUUAAUUCGAUGAUACGCGAGGAACCUUACCCGGGCUUAAAUUGCAACCGAAUAUGGCGGAAACGCUAUAGCUAGCAAUAGCGGUUGUGAAGGUGCUGCAUGGUUGUCGUCAGCUCGUGCCGUGAGGUGUCGGCUUAAGUGCCAUAACGAGCGCAACCCUUGCCGAUAGUUACUAACAGGUUAUGCUGAGGACUCUGUCGGGACUGCCAUCGUAAGAUGUGAGGAAGGUGGGGAUGACGUCAAAUCAGCACGGCCCUUACGUCCGGGGCUACACACGUGUUACAAUGGGGGGUACAGAGGGCUACUACCACGCAAGUGGAUGCCAAUCCCAAAAACCUCUCUCAGUUCGGAUUGAAGUCUGCAACCCGACUUCAUGAAGCUGGAUUCGCUAGUAAUCGCGCAUCAGCCACGGCGCGGUGAAUACGUUCCC